GUGACAAUCCAAGACAAAUAUAUCUUCGGUCAUCAAAUCAUCCUGACUAAAAUUGUGUAUUUCUGUCACCUGCAAUAACAAUAUCGGAAUGGCUGUAUAAGUAAGGACCUCGAUAACAUGCUAGCACAACAAGUAAGAAUAUAUGCAAGCAUCUUAAGGCAGUGGCAAUUGAAAACAAAGGAAGACAUUAGUAAAAUGAGCAGAAUACUCUGAGAUGCCUCAGUUUUAUGAUACAGCAGAAUAGAGGAAAGAGUUGGAAUGAAUGCUUAUGAUCAGCAGUAAUAUGUAAAGAGGUCAGUUAGGGAAAACUACAAAAAUAAUGGCAAAAGAUGCAACCGUUUUAAAGGUUGGAGCGAAGGGGUUGGCCCAAAAGGGAGAAAAUCUCAAGCAGAGGAGGGAUCAUGGAUUUUAUUUUGGGCUAGACAGGGUGCUACUGGCAUGCGUCGUUCUAGAGAUCAUAUUCCACUAUCAAUUGCCAGAAAUUCAUCUCAUAAUUCAGCUGAUCACUCCACUUCUUUGUUAUCUUGAGCGACAGUCUAAUAGACAACUCCAUUCUCCAGAAUAUCAAUCAUGAAAAGCUACAGAUAUAUUCAGUGUCUACAUCUUAGUAGAUUUUUAUUUAUUAUUUUUAUGAGGUAAAUGGAAAAAAGAAGAAGCAAACAACUAGGUAAAUGUCCGUGACAUGGUUACACCAGAUUUACAUAUAUUAUUCACGAUUACAGCAGUUUACGAUGCUCGGUCAGGUGAGAAGAUACCUUAUGGUGGUUAUUCGGCAGAACUGGAUCUGCUUUUCCAAGAAGCUUGUCUCCUCUCCGCCAGGAAUUGAGCCUUAUUUCCAACACCAAGCUACGGAGAACUAUGGAAGAAGCAUUGGCCUAUCCAGUAACCCCCCAGUGGGAAUGAAUUAGGCAUUACAAACAAAUACCACUUUGUCUACUGCAGUAUCAUUGGCCAAUAAACAACAAACGAAUCUUCGAUAAUGCUUUGAUUUACGAUGAUAGGGGUACUACAAGAUGUAAU
Molecule: long non-coding RNA, 1020 nt
Filed under: Eucalyptus grandis
Lineage: Eukaryota; Viridiplantae; Streptophyta; Magnoliopsida; Myrtales; Myrtaceae
Description: long non-coding RNA (EGRA_LNC002479)
Source: RNAcentral